This is a long non-coding RNA of Oncorhynchus nerka (sockeye salmon), 3125 nucleotides long. RefSeq lists it as uncharacterized. NCBI's taxonomy places the organism in Eukaryota, Metazoa, Chordata, Actinopteri, Salmoniformes, Salmonidae. The record is from RefSeq and is a predicted model, not a curated record. The transcript is spliced from 5 exons.
UUUGUAGAAUUCCAUAUUAUUGUUUGUGGGUUAGAUUCCAUCAUCGCCAGGCGUUGGAUGAAUGGCAUGCUGAUGGUGUUGGUUUGGAUGGGGAUAACCCUGAGCACAUCCAUUGGGUGUUUCAGAGGGCCCAGGAGAGAGCUGUUGACUACAGCAUCACAGGAGUCACAUACAGACUCACACAAGGAGUCGUGAAAAGGAUCAUCCCUGCUGUGGCGUCAACUAAUGCUGUAAGGAAACCUUUAAUGACUGUCAUUGGGUUUUAUCUUGAAGAAUCCCAAAGUAAAGUGUAACAUAUUUCACCAUUUGUGUUGCUUUGUAGCUGCCUGCUCCACUGAAGUUUUUAAAAUAGCUUCAAGGUUAGUACUAUGACUCAUCCCUUUGUCACAUGAUGGACUCACUGGAGAGUAGGUCAAUUCCAUACUAGGUAUCAUUCAUAUUACCUUUCUCUGACUUUGCAGCACUUAUAUUCCACUGAAUAAUUAUCUGGUAUUUAAUAUUGUGGACGGACUGUACACAUACACCUUUGAGACAGAGCGAAAGGUUAGUACUGUUUUUGAUGUAACCAGAUGAGUGUCCUUAAUGGAUAUAUAUUUGCCCAUUUUAAUUAGGAGAACUGUAUUAAUGUAACUGACGGUGCUAUUGACACACAAGGCUAUAUAUUUGCCCAUUUUAUUUAGGAGAACUGUAUUAAUGUAACUGACGGUGCUAUUGACACACAAGGCUAUAAGGGUAUGGCGUGGUUUCAGGCUACUUGUGCCUUCAUGCUCUUGUUUGGUCUGACAGGAGAACUGCUCAGCUUGUAGCCAGGUGCCCCAGGAUCUACAAUUCCCACCCUCUGCCAAGCUACAGGAGGUCCUGGAGUACUUGACAGAGAAUGCCUCCCUACAAAUGAAAUCCCCAGCCAUCACAGCAACCCUGGACGGGAAAAACAAGACACUGUAUUUACAGACUAUAGCUUCAAUUGAAGAAAGAACUAGACCAAACCUUUGCAAAACCUUGAAAGAACUGGGAUUGUCCGAUGGACAGGAACUAGCAGUGGCGGAUGUCACCACACCUCAGACUGUCCUCUUCAAGUUGAAACUCACCUCUUAAAGGGCUAGUGCAGUCAUAAAUGUGGUUUUCUUAUGUUUUAUCUAUUUUUCCACACUGAGGUUGGAAUAAUUCUGUGAAAUUGUGAAAAUGAUGAUAAUACCCUUUUAGUGUAAGCGUUGUUUGAAAAGAACGCCUGAAAUUUCAGGUAAUUUUGCAUGGGUGGAGUUUUGGCCUGCCUGGCGACAUUACCGGGCGGUGUUAAUAGACCAAUAACAGAGAGUUCCAAACUUCUGCCAAUAACAGCUAGUUUUCAGGUUACAUAUCCCUUCCAUUAAGCUUCUCCAAUUAGCUACCACUCCGAGACAGUCCUAAUGAAAUUAUUGCUUGAGAAAUAGCUUUUUGCCAAGAAGCUAUUUUUGUUUCUUUUUUUUACCAUUGUUUUCAAUUAAAAUCACAGUAAGGUACCUAAUUGUUACCCAGAAAUAAUUUGAUAUUGAGAUAAAACACGACUGCAUUGGACCUUUUUUUAAAUGCAGAAUCUGUCGACAUUUGACAACCUUUGGGGAGAAAGUAGCAAGUGAUACAGGGUGGCAUGGUUUUAAUAUAUUUUAGUCUGAUAAUGUAUAUAAGAUCAUUUUCUCUGUCGUAUUGGCCCAUUGUGGGAGGUAGCUGAUGGCCAUCAACCUUCUUUAUCACUAUAUGUGGAAUCAGUCUGUGAAAUUGUUUCUUAAUGUUUUACUGCUAAAUGUUUGCUCCAAACGUCUGUCUUCUUUCCCUCACUCAAAAGAGCAGUAGUUUAUAUAGGGUACCAGUCAAAAGUUUGGACACACCUAUUCAUUCCAGGGUUUUUUUCUUCUUUCUUUUCUUCUACAUUGUAGAAUAACAGUGAAGACAUCAAAACUAUGAAAUAAUACACAUGGAAUCAUGUAGUAACCAAAAAAGUGUUAAACACAUCAAAAUAUAUUUUAGGUUCUUCAAAGUAGCCACCCUUUGCCUUGAUGACAGUUUUGCAACCAGCUUCACAUGGAAUGCUUUUCCAACAGUCUUGAAGGAGUUCCAACAUAUGCUGAGCACUUCUUGGCUGCUUUUCCUUCACGCUGCGGUCCAACUCAUCGCAAACCAUCUGUUGGGUUGAGGUUGGGUGAUUGUGGAGGCUAUGUCAUCUGAUGCAGCACCCCAUCACUCUCCUUGGUCAAAGUGUGUUUGGGUCAUUGUCCUGUUGAAAAACAAAUGAUAGUCCGAAUAAGCGCAAACCAGAUGGGAUGGUGUAUCGCUGUAGAAUGCUUUGGUAGCCUUGCUGGUUAAGUUUCUUGGCCCAAGCUAGUCUCUUCUUAUUGGUGUCCUUUAGUAGUGGUUUCUUUGCAGCAAUUUGACCAUGAAGGCCGGAUUCACACAGUCUCCUUUUAACAGUUGAUGUUGAGAUGUGUGAACUCUGAAGCAUUUAUUUGGGCUGCAAUUUCUGAGGCUGGUAACUCUAAUGAAAUUAUCCUCUGCAGCAGAGGUAACUGGGUCUUCCAUUCCUGUGGCGGUCCUCAUGAGAGCCAGUUUCAUCUGCACUUGAAGAAACUUUCAAAGUUCUUGAAAUUUUUCAGAUCACUGACCUACAUGUCUUAAACUAAUGAUGGACUGUCAUUUCUCUUUGCUCAUUUGAGCUGUUCUUGCCAUAAUAUGGACUUGGUCUUUUACCAAAUAGGGCUGUCUUCUGUAUACCACCCCUACCUUGUCACGUCACAACACAACUGAUUGCCUCAAACACAUCAAGAAGGAAAGAAAUGACACAAAUUAACAUUUAACAAGGCCCACCUGUUAAUUGAAAUGCAUUCCAGAUGACUACCUCAUGAAGCUGGUUGAGAGAAUGCCAAGAGUCUGCAAAGAUUUCAUCAAGGCAAAGGGUGGCUACUUUGAAGAAUCUGAAAUAUAUUUGAAUUUGUUUACCACUUUUGGUUACUACAUGAUUCGUAAUGUUAUUUCAUAGUUUUGAUGUCUUCACUAUUAUUCUACAAUGUAGAAAAUAGGAAAAAAUAAAUGAGUAGGUGUGUCCAAAUGUUUAGCUGGUACUGUUUGUAAUUAUGACAAACUGUGCUGCAAUA